UACGUAGGGUGCGAGCGUUGUCCGGAAUUAUUGGGCGUAAAGAGCUCGUAGGCGGUGUGUCGCGUCUGCCGUGAAAACCUGCAGCUUAACUGUGGGCUUGCGGUCGAUACGGGCAUCACUGGAGUUCGGCAGGGGAGACUGGAAUUCCUGGUGUAGCGGUGAAAUGCGCAGAUAUCAGGAGGAACACCGGUGGCGAAGGCGAGUCCCUGGACAACUCCUGACACUGAGGCACGAAAGCUAGGGGAGCAAACAGG
Molecule: ribosomal RNA, 254 nt
Filed under: uncultured bacterium
Lineage: Bacteria
Description: partial 16S ribosomal RNA
Rfam family: Bacterial small subunit ribosomal RNA
Source: RNAcentral